GGCGCGGAUGGGUCGGCGGCCGAGUUCGUCGUCGCUCCGGCCGACGUGCUCGCGAAGGCCCCGUCGAGCAUCGACCUCGCCGAUGCCGCGGCGC
Molecule: transfer RNA, 94 nt
Filed under: Conyzicola nivalis
Lineage: Bacteria; Bacillati; Actinomycetota; Actinomycetes; Micrococcales; Microbacteriaceae
Description: tRNA-Arg
Source: RNAcentral